CGACCUGGUGCUAACAUUUUGCUUCCAAGACCAGGUUUCCCAUACUAUGAAGCAGUUGCUUCACGAUCUAAUCUUGAGGUUCGCCAUUUUGAUCUUUUGCCAGAAAAAGGCUGGGAGGUUGAUCUUGAAGCUGUUGAGGCUCUGGCAGAUGAGAAUUCUGUUGCCAUGGUUAUAAUAAACCCUGGCAAUCCUUGUGGAAAUGUCUACAGCUACGGACAUUUAAAGAAAAUUGCAGAGACAGCUAGAAAGAUUGGAAUAAUGGUGAUUGCUGAUGAAGUAUAUGCGCAUCUCACAUUUGGGAGUACGCCGUAUGUGCGAAUGGGAACUUUUGGGCCAAUUGUGCCUGUGCUUUCACUGGGAUCUAUAUCAAAGAGAUGGAUUGUUCCUGGAUGGAGAAUUGGUUGGCUUGUUACUUCUGAUCCCAAUGGAAUCCUUAAAAAUUCUGGGGUUGUUGAUUCAAUACUUAGCUGUCUCAACCUAACCCCUGACCCUGCAACCUUCAUUCAGGGUGCACUCUCUGAAAUCCUCGAGAACACGAAGAAGGAUUUCUUUUUGAAAACUAUUAGCUUACUGAGGGAGGCCGUAGACACAUGCUAUGACAUGAUUCAGGGAAACCCUUACAUCACUUGCCCAAUGAAGCCAGAAGGUUCUAUGUUUAUUAUGGCAAAACUGAAUUUGUCACUAUUGGAAGGCAUCAAGGAUGAUAUGGA
Molecule: unclassified non-coding RNA, 710 nt
Filed under: Hevea brasiliensis (rubber tree)
Lineage: Eukaryota; Viridiplantae; Streptophyta; Magnoliopsida; Malpighiales; Euphorbiaceae
Source: RNAcentral